Molecule: long non-coding RNA, 456 nt
Organism: Poecilia latipinna (sailfin molly)
Lineage: Eukaryota; Metazoa; Chordata; Actinopteri; Cyprinodontiformes; Poeciliidae
Exons: 2
Source: RefSeq, a predicted model, not a curated record
AGGCCCCAGAGCGCACUUUGGACUGGAAAACACCGCUGUGUGUGUGUUUGUGUGUGUGUGUGUUUGUGUGUGUGUGUGUGUGUGUGUGUGUGUGUGUGUGUGUUCAGGAACACAUCAGGACUUGAACUCAUGACUGCAGCUCCCUCUGUCCAGCAGAGGGCGCUCCGUCACCAUAGUAACCUGCAACAUGUUACCAUGGUGACGCUCCAGGAUCCAAUCACCAUUCAACCCAACCGAUUUUAACCAAUCAGCAGCCUGAGGCUCUGAUUGGACGUUUGUUACUAUUUAUGGGAUGUUUAGAUUUUACGGUUACCGGGGCAACGCUAGAGGGUUUUAUACUGUUGUAAAUGUUUAGCUGUGAGGUUCUGGUUCUGGACUGGUUCUGUCUGGAGGAAGCAGAACAAACCGCUCUAAGUUAUUUGUUUCAAGGAACUGAAUAAAGUUUUAGUAAACUGA